UUUCCGUAGGUGAACCUGCGGAAGGAUCAUUAUCGUAAAACCGAGGUGCGAGGGCUGUCGCUGACCUUUUCGGUCGUGCACGCCCGAGCGCUCUCACACAAUCCAUCUCACCCCUUGUGCACCACCGUGUGGGUCCCUUUCUGGCUCGUCCGGAGGGGGGCUCGCGUUUUCACACAAACUUGAAGUAGUGUAGAAUGUCCUUUUUUUGCGAUAACACGCAAUCAAUACAACUCUCAACAACGGAUCUCUUGGCUCUC
RNAcentral lists this unclassified non-coding RNA (257 nucleotides) under plant metagenome. RNAcentral describes it as "partial contains small subunit ribosomal RNA, internal transcribed spacer 1, and 5.8S ribosomal RNA". The record is from RNAcentral.